Molecule: ribosomal RNA, 253 nt
Filed under: uncultured bacterium
Lineage: Bacteria
Description: partial 16S ribosomal RNA
Rfam family: Bacterial small subunit ribosomal RNA
Source: RNAcentral
UACGUAGGGUGCAAGCGUUGUCCGGAAUUAUUGGGCGUAAAGAGCUCGUAGGCGGUUUGUCACGUCUGCUGUGAAAUCCCGAGGCUCAACCUCGGGCUUGCAGUGGGUACGGGCAGACUAGAGUGCGGUAGGGGAGAAUGGAAUUCCUGGUGUAGCGGUGGAAUGCGCAGAUAUCAGGAGGAACACCGAUGGCGAAGGCAGUUCUCUGGGCCGUAACUGACGCUGAGGAGCGAAAGCGUGGGGAGCGAACAGG